UAGUUUGAUUAUCAACAUGAGUGGUGGCAGAGCUGAAUAACAAUUGUGGUGAUAUCCCUUUAUUAUUAAAAGGGAAGUACAAAUUGAAAUUUUGUCUAAUUUGGCCUCAAUUUUGAUUUCAAUUUUGGAUUUUGUUCUUUGCUAUUCAAAAUCAUUAAUGGUAAUUUGGUCUUAACAAUCUCCUAAACUUUAUAUGAUCCGAUUCAAUCUAAACCGUUCAAUAAAAUUAAUUCCCUUCAAUCUAAACCGUUCAACGAAAAUAAGGAAUCUAUGUUGUUUUUGAAAUCAAAAUAUGAUCACAUUCCAUCCCUAAAAACACUAUAUUCAAUCACGAAAUCAAUAAUCAAUAAUAUCCAAAUCAUAUAUUACGAUUCUUCACUAAUCAUUAGAAAUUUAUAUUUAUAAGUUUAGGAUAUCAAAUUUAUUCAAAUAUUUAGUAUAAGAACCAAAUAAACCGAUUGCUCGCGGUUUAGUUAAAUCCUAGUGUAAACAUAUUUACAAUGUCAGAGGAUCUAAUAAUAUUUAUUG
RNAcentral lists this small RNA (528 nucleotides) under Arabidopsis thaliana (thale cress). RNAcentral's name for it is "ATSL288500". Lineage: Eukaryota; Viridiplantae; Streptophyta; Magnoliopsida; Brassicales; Brassicaceae. The record is from RNAcentral.